AUGAAUUGACGGGGGCCCGCACAAGCGGUGGAGCAUGUGGUUUAAUUCGAUGCAACGCGAAGAACCUUACCUACUCUUGACAUCCAGAGAAUCUAGCGGAGACGCUGGAGUGCCUUCGGGAACUCUGAGACAGGUGCUGCAUGGCUGUCGUCAGCUCGUGUUGUGAAAUGUUGGGUUAAGUCCCGCAACGAGCGCAACCC
Molecule: ribosomal RNA, 200 nt
Filed under: Vibrio vulnificus
Lineage: Bacteria; Pseudomonadati; Pseudomonadota; Gammaproteobacteria; Vibrionales; Vibrionaceae
Description: partial 16S ribosomal RNA
Rfam family: Bacterial small subunit ribosomal RNA
Source: RNAcentral